Molecule: ribosomal RNA, 301 nt
Filed under: uncultured bacterium
Lineage: Bacteria
Description: partial 16S ribosomal RNA
Rfam family: Bacterial small subunit ribosomal RNA
Source: RNAcentral
CAGCAGCCACGGUAAUACGAAGGGUGCAAGCGUUAAUCGGAAUUACUGGGCGUAAAGCGUGCGUAGGCGGUUUGUUAAGUCUGUCGUGAAAUCCCCGGGCUCAACCUGGGAAUGGCAAUGGAUACUGGCAAGCUAGAGUGUGUCAGAGGAUGGUGGAAUUCCCGGUGUAGCGGUGAAAUGCGUAGAGAUCGGGAGGAACAUCAGUGGCGAAGGCGGCCAUCUGGGACAACACUGACGCUGAGGCACGAAAGCGUGGGGAGCAAACAGGAUUAGAUACCCGGGUAGUCCCUGUCUCUUAUAC